GCCUCUGUAGCUCAGUUGGUUAGAGCGCUGCACCGGAAUUGCAGGACCUCAGGUACCAUUCCUGCCAGGGACC
This 73-nucleotide transfer RNA is filed under the name Paramuricea clavata. It matches the Rfam family "tRNA". From Rfam's summary of the family: Transfer RNA (tRNA) molecules are approximately 80 nucleotides in length. Their secondary structure includes four short double-helical elements and three loops (D, anti-codon, and T loops). Further hydrogen bonds mediate the characteristic L-shaped molecular structure. tRNAs have two regions of fundamental functional importance: the anti-codon, which is responsible for specific mRNA codon recognition, and the 3' end, to which the tRNAs corresponding amino acid is attached (by aminoacyl-tRNA synthetases). tRNAs cope with the degeneracy of the genetic code in two manners: having more than one tRNA (with a specific anti-codon) for a particular amino acid; and 'wobble' base-pairing, i.e. permitting non-standard base-pairing at the 3rd anti-codon position. Lineage: Eukaryota; Metazoa; Cnidaria; Anthozoa; Malacalcyonacea; Plexauridae. The record is from Rfam by way of RNAcentral.